Long non-coding RNA from Phragmites australis (common reed), 1111 nucleotides. RefSeq lists it as uncharacterized. The transcript has 2 exons. Lineage: Eukaryota; Viridiplantae; Streptophyta; Magnoliopsida; Poales; Poaceae. The record is from RefSeq and is a predicted model, not a curated record.
GUUCCUCCCACGCACGCACCACGCUAAGCAUCCUCUAACCCUACUGCUGUGCGCCAACACAGCCGUGAACCGCCGCCGCCUCCAAGCAUGGCGGCUCCUCUCUCUCUCUCCUCUCUAGUCCCUCGGAGGUGUCCAUGUUUUAUUUCUUGUUUGCUUAGAUCUACGUGUUUUUCUUUCUUCCAAGAAGGGGAUCUGUUGCUUCUUGCUACCAAGUGAUGUUGGGAUUAUUGCGCAAGGGCUUUGAGCAAUUCGUGGCUUGUUUUUGCCUCAUGCGAUGAGAUCACGACAGCCAGUUUGCCCUCUGGUUCAGUGAGGUGAUAUGCAAGAAGGCAAGCACCUUGCGCCGUUCCCUUCUGUUUGGAUGUUUUCCGUCUCAAGUUCUGAAAUUUGAGAUUUUUGCACAUACAGCUAAUACCUGACACAAAAUUUGUAGAUCGAAAUGCGUGUUUCCUUUUUUUCCUUGUGGAUUUAACAAGUUCUUUUCAAUGCCAAGUGAUGGUGGGAUUAUUGCGCAAGGGCUUUGAGCAAUUCGUGGGCACUUGUGGUCCAAUGCUGUGAGAUGAACUACAUGACACCCCUUCUGAUGGCAAUUUCUUCUAGAAAUUAACUGUGUACAUAACCACUGAUAUAUGCAUUGCUUUUAUGUGUUAUCUACUUGCACAUACAGCUAAUACCAGCAUGAGGAAUCAGCUUUUGCAAUGCUUGAUAAAAUGUAGUUCUUAAGUCACAUACAUUCAAGCUUAGUACCAAACUCUCUCCGCUGCUUGUUCGGAUCAGCAGAUGCUCCAGUAGCAUUUUGAUGGCACAAUGGAGUAUGGAAUGCAAGUACGCUGAAUCCAAGAAGCUAGGAAUGCAAGUACGCUGAAUCCAAGAAGCUGCUGAAGCAUUGGACUAUUCCUUUUUGGUCUUAUUAAUUCCAGGACUUCGGUAGAUUGGGGAAUUUCCAUCCACAAUCUGAAUUAUACUGGAAGGAUACCUUUUACUGGAAUUAGUAGUUUGUACAGAAGUUUAUACUUGUAAGAUGAUUGACUUUUUCGUGUGUUUCAUUAUCUUGGUUUUUGCUGUGGAUAACUAUAUAACCUGGUCAUAGUUGAAAAGCUCGGUUCAGAAA